Molecule: ribosomal RNA, 462 nt
Filed under: Symbiodinium sp. clade A
Lineage: Eukaryota; Dinophyceae; Suessiales; Symbiodiniaceae
Description: LSU rRNA
Rfam family: Eukaryotic large subunit ribosomal RNA
Source: RNAcentral
CAUACUACCAACGGCGGCGCGAGCGUAAGCCUCUUGGAACAGAGCGUCUACGUGGGUGAGAAUCCUGUGUUUCGCUUGAUGCCCGCCGUGCACGGUACUUGCUCUCAGAGUCACGCUCCUCGGAAUUGGAGCAGUAAAUUGGGUGGUAAAUUUCAUCUAAAGCUAAAUACAGGCUCGAGACCGAUAGCAAACAAGUACCAUGAGGGAAAGAUGAAAAGGACUUUGAAAAGAGAGUUAAAAGUGCUUGAAAUCGCUGAACUGGAAGCGAAUGGAACUAGUGCUCUGGUUGAGAUUGCUGUAAAUGGCUGCGACAUCUGGGCUCUGGAACGCAAGUCCUUUGUCUGGCUUGAAGUAGUCGCUUGCAAUGUGUCUCAGCUUGAACAUCAACUUCUAUGCAUACGUGAGGAUGGCCCUUGGCUCAUGCUGUGUUGCUGUGGCGAUACUCUUGUGCUUCUGGGGAUU